CUGCGGGAGAAAUUGAAAAGCGCGAAGGCGGCCGGGCGCGGCAUGUGUGGAGCUGUGAAAUGCACGGCACCAUUACACCGCGCCCUGUCGCUGCGUUCGGGGGGCCGCCCCUCGGGGCCGCCCCUGUCUGCACCCUCUGCCAUUGUCGCACCUCGCGUUUCCUCGGCGGGCCCGCCCGCCAACGGGGACCCCAAACCAAACCCACUUGCAGUGCCUGCAGUAAACGUCUCACAAAAGAAAUAAAUCAAAACUUUCAACAACGGAUCUCUUGGUUCUGGCAUCGAUGAAGAACGCAGCGAAAUGCGAUAAGUAGUGUGAAUUGCAGAAUUCAGUGAAUCAUCGAAUCUUUGAACGCACAUUGCGCCCUUUGGUAUUCCUUAGGGCAUGCCUGUUCGAGCGUCAUCUAACCCCUCAAGCACCGCUUGGUGUUGGGCGCUUGUCCCCGCCCCCGCGCGCGGACUCGCCUCGAAGACAUUGGCGGCCUGUGUAUUGGCUACGAGCGCAGCAGACCCGCGCCUCGUCCCCUCUCCGCGCAGGCGCCCACGAAGCGCAACCCCCCCAAUUUUGACCUCGGAUCAGGUAGGGAUACCCGCUGAACUUAAGCAUAUCAAUAAGCGGAGGAA
Molecule: ribosomal RNA, 623 nt
Filed under: fungal sp. OUCMBI101132
Lineage: Eukaryota; Fungi
Description: eukaryotic LSU rRNA
Rfam family: 5.8S ribosomal RNA (bases 249-402)
Source: RNAcentral